UGGGGAAUAUUGCGCAAUGGGCGAAAGCCUGACGCAGCGACGCCGCGUGAGGGAUGAAGGUUUUCGGAUCGUAAACCUCUGUCAGAAGGGAAGAAACCGCACUGUGCUAAUCAGCAGUGCCUUGACGGUACCUUCAAAGGAAGCACCGGCUAACUCCGUGCCAGCAGCCGCGGUAAUACGGAGGGUGCAAGCGUUAAUCGGAAUUACUGGGCGUAAAGCGCACGUAGGCUGCUUUGUAAGUCAGGGGUGAAAUCCCACGGCUCAAACGUGGAACUGCCUUUGAUACUGCUUAGCUUGAAUCCGGGAGAGGGUGGCGGAAUUCCAGGUGUAGGAGUGAAAUCAGUAGAUAUCUGGAGGAACAUCAGUGGCGAAGGCGGCCACCUGGACCGGUAUUGACGCUGAGGUGCGAACGCGUGGGGAGCAAACAGG
Molecule: ribosomal RNA, 429 nt
Filed under: Fusobacteriota bacterium
Lineage: Bacteria; Fusobacteriati; Fusobacteriota
Description: Fusobacteria bacterium partial 16S ribosomal RNA
Rfam family: Bacterial small subunit ribosomal RNA
Source: RNAcentral